UACGGAGGGGGCUAGCGUUGUUCGGAAUUACUGGGCGGAAAGCGCACGUAGGCGGACAGUUAAGUCGGGGGUGGAAUCCCGGGGCUCAACCCCGGAACUGCCUUCGAUACUGGCUGUCUGGAGGUCGAGAGAGGUGAGUGGAAUUCCGAGUGUAGAGGUGAAAUUCGUAGAUAUUCGGAGGAACACCAGUGGCGAAGGCGGCUCACUGGCUCGAUACUGACGCUGAGGUGCGAAAGCGUGGGGAGUAAACAGG
Molecule: ribosomal RNA, 253 nt
Filed under: uncultured bacterium
Lineage: Bacteria
Description: partial 16S ribosomal RNA
Rfam family: Bacterial small subunit ribosomal RNA
Source: RNAcentral